RNAcentral lists this ribosomal RNA (523 nucleotides) under uncultured bacterium. RNAcentral describes it as "bacterial SSU rRNA". It matches the Rfam family "Bacterial small subunit ribosomal RNA", at positions 777 to 1297 of the family's 1533-position model. The record is from RNAcentral.
AAUAGAUACCCGGGUAGUCCACGCCGUAAACGAUGAGUGCUAAGUGUUAGAGGGUUUCCGCCCUUUAGUGCUGCAGCUAACGCAUUAAGCACUCCGCCUGGGGAGUACGGCCGCAAGGCUGAAACUCAAAGGAAUUGACGGGGGCCCGCACAAGCGGUGGAGCAUGUGGUUUAAUUCGAAGCAACGCGAAGAACCUUACCAGGUCUUGACAUCCUCUGCCAACCCUAGAGAUAGGGCGUUCCCCUUCGGGGGACAGAGUGACAGGUGGUGCAUGGUUGUCGUCAGCUCGUGUCGUGAGAUGUUGGGUUAAGUCCCGCAACGAGCGCAACCCUUGAUCUUAGUUGCCAGCAUUCAGUUGGGCACUCUAAGGUGACUGCCGGUGACAAACCGGAGGAAGGUAGGGGAUGACGUCAAAUCAUCAUGCCCCUUAUGACCUGGGCUACACACGUGCUACAAUGGAUGGUACAAAGAGUUGCGAACCCGCGAGGGUAAGCGAAUCUCAUAAAGCCAUUCUCAGUUCGGA